This 940-nucleotide small RNA is filed under the name Mycoplasmopsis bovigenitalium. Its description in RNAcentral is "bacterial LSU rRNA". The stretch from base 443 to 940 matches the Rfam family "Bacterial large subunit ribosomal RNA", at positions 1 to 497 of the family's 2925-position model. The record is from RNAcentral. Lineage: Bacteria; Bacillati; Mycoplasmatota; Mycoplasmoidales; Metamycoplasmataceae.
CCGCCCGUCAAACCAUGGGAGCUGGUAAUGCCCGAAGUCGGUUUAUUAACAAACUGCCUAAGGCAGGACUGGUGACUGGGGUUAAGUCGUAACAAGGUAUCCCUACGAGAACGUGGGGAUGGAUUACCUCCUUUCUACGGAGUACAAAGCUAAUUUAAUUAGCAUUAACCUUAUUUUUCAGACCUACUAUUAUUAUUUAUCGUCAUGGCUUGGUUAGGUCCCAAGUGUAUAUCUAGUUUUGAGGGAACAAUUCUCUCAAUUGUUCUUUGAAAACUGAAUAGUAAAUAUUUUAAAAUAUUACAACGACAUCAAAAAAAUGAAUAAAUUUGGUUUAUUCGUAUUGAUUCAUCGAGUAAUCAUAUUAAUUAUAUGAUUCAUUGAAAUGUCUUAAAAUACACAUCAUAACAAUAGGAAAUCUUAAUUUAAUAAAUUAAGGACAUACUUUUAAAUAAGUAAGAGUUUGUGGUGGAUGCCUUGGGUCUGGAAGUCGAUGAAGGACGUGAUUACCUGCGAUAAGCCUCGUGGAGCUGGAUAUAAGCUACGAAACGGGGAUUUCCGAAUGGGGAAACCUAACUAGGGUAAUGCCUAGUUGCCUUCUUGUGAAUACAUAGCAAGUCGAGCGAGACACCAUGUGAACUGAAACAUCUUAGUAGCAUGAGGAACAGAAAAUAAAUAAUGAUUUCUUUAGUAGCGGCGAGCGAACGAGAAACAGCCCAAACCACUUUAAAGUGGGGUUGUAGGACAGUCUACAUAGAGUUACAAAAUUUAAUGAUAGCAGAAACAUUUGGGAAAAUGUAGCAUAGAGGGUGAUACUCCUGUACGCGAAAUCAUUAAAUCUCUUGACUGUAUCCUGAGUAGGGCGGGGCACGUGAAACCCUGUCUGAAUCUGCCGGGACCACCCGGUAAGGCUAAAUACUAACCAGACACCGAUAGUGAACUA